RNAcentral lists this ribosomal RNA (336 nucleotides) under uncultured bacterium. RNAcentral describes it as "bacterial SSU rRNA". It matches the Rfam family "Bacterial small subunit ribosomal RNA", at positions 29 to 353 of the family's 1533-position model. The record is from RNAcentral.
AGCGAACGCUGGCGGCGUGCCUAACACAUGCAAGUCGAACGUGAAAGGGAGCAAUCCUGAGUAAAGUGGCGUACGGGUGAGUAACACGUAGGUAAUCUACCCCAGAGUCUGGAAUAACCUGCCGAAAGGCGGGCUAAUACUGGAUAGAGCGACGGAAUCCGCAAUUGGGUUUUUCGGAAAGGGAGCUUGUAAGGGCCCUCGCUUUGGGAUGAGCCUGCGUCUCAUUAGCUAGUUGGAAGGUAAUGGCUUACCAAGGCUUUGAUGGGUAGCUGGUCUGAGGAGGAUGAUCAGCCACACUGGAACUGAACACGGUCCAGACUCCUACGGGAGGCAGCA